AUUGAACGCUGGCGGCAGGCUUAACACAUGCAAGUCGAGCGGGGUGAUGGUGCUUGCACUAUCACUUAGCGGCGGACGGGUGAGUAAUGCUUAGGAAUCUGCCUAUUAGUGGGGGACAACAUCUCGAAAGGGAUGCUAAUACCGCAUACGUCCUACGGGAGAAAGCAGGGGAUCACUUGUGACCUUGCGCUAAUAGAUGAGCCUAAGUCGGAUUAGCUAGUUGGUGGGGUAAAGGCCGACCAAGGCGACGAUCUGUAGCGGGUCUGAGAGGAUGAUCCGCCACCCUGGGACUGAGACACGGCCCAGACUCCUACGGGAGGCAGCAGUGGGGAAUAUUGGACAAUGGGGGGAACCCUGAUCCAGCCAUGCCGCGUGUGUGAAGAAGGCCUUAUGGUUGUAAAGCACUUUAAGCGAGGAGGAGGCUCUUUUGGUUAAUACCCAAGAUGAGUGGACGUUACUCGCAGAAUAAGCACCGGCUAACUCUGUGCCAGCAGCCGCCGCUG
This 503-nucleotide ribosomal RNA is filed under the name uncultured bacterium. RNAcentral describes it as "partial 16S ribosomal RNA". It matches the Rfam family "Bacterial small subunit ribosomal RNA", at positions 30 to 523 of the family's 1533-position model. The record is from RNAcentral.